GAUGAACGCUAGCGGCAGGCUUAACACAUGCAAGUCGAGGGGUAGGUUAUUUCGGUAAUUGAGACCGGCGCACGGGUGCGUAACGCGUAUACAAUCUACCUUUUACAGAGGGAUAGCCCAGAGAAAUUUUGGAUUAAUACCUCAUAGUAUUUUUGAAUCGCAUGAUUUGAUUAUUAAAGUUCCAACGGUAAAAGAUGAGUAUGCGUCCCAUUAGCUAGAUGGUAAGGUAACGGCUUACCAUGGCUACGAUGGGUAGGGUCCUGAGAGGGAGAUCCCCCCACACUGGUACUGAGACACGGACCAGACUCCUACGGGAGGCAGCAGUGAGGAAUAUUGGACAAUGGGCGCAAGCCUGAUCCAGCCAUGCCCGCGUGCAGGAAGAAGGUCCAUGGAUUGUAAACUGCUUUUAUACAAGAAGAAACACUCCCUACGUGAGGGAACUUGACGGUACUGUAU
RNAcentral lists this ribosomal RNA (456 nucleotides) under uncultured bacterium. Its description in RNAcentral is "bacterial SSU rRNA". It matches the Rfam family "Bacterial small subunit ribosomal RNA", at positions 28 to 483 of the family's 1533-position model. The record is from RNAcentral.